UACAGAGGGUGCAAGCGUUAAUCGGAAUUACUGGGCGUAAAGCGUGCGUAGGUGGUUUACUAAGUCAGGUGUGAAAUCCCCGGGCUCAACCUGGGAACUGCGCUUGAUACUGGUAAACUAGAGUUUAGUAGAGGGAAGUGGAAUUCCACGUGUAGCGGUGAAAUGCGUAGAUAUGUGGAGGAACACCGGUGGCGAAGGCGGCUCACUGGCCCGUAACUGACGCUCAGGCGCGAUAGCGUGGGGAUCAAACAGG
This 253-nucleotide ribosomal RNA is filed under the name uncultured bacterium. RNAcentral describes it as "partial 16S ribosomal RNA". It matches the Rfam family "Bacterial small subunit ribosomal RNA", at positions 524 to 776 of the family's 1533-position model. The record is from RNAcentral.